Molecule: ribosomal RNA, 256 nt
Filed under: uncultured bacterium
Lineage: Bacteria
Description: partial 16S ribosomal RNA
Rfam family: Bacterial small subunit ribosomal RNA
Source: RNAcentral
CGGACGGGUGAGUAACGCUGGGGGACCGUGCCCUNUACCGGGGGACGAACAGCCAGAAAUGGCUGCUAAUACCGCAUAACCCUGCGGUGCCGCAUGGCACUGCAGGAAAAACUCCGGUGGUACAGGAUGGCCCUGCGUCUGAUUAGCUUGUUGGCGGGGUAACGGCCCACCAAGGCAGCGAUCAGUAGCCGGCUUGAGAGAGCGGACGGCCACAUUGGGACUGAGACACGGCCCAGACUCCUACGGAAGGCAGCAG